GAGAGAGGCUCGACAGCAACAAUGACUGCUAAUCCUUGUCCCCCUGGUUUGACCCCGGGGCUCACUCA
This 68-nucleotide transfer RNA is filed under the name Pachypanchax playfairii (golden panchax). RNAcentral's name for it is "tRNA-Ser". Lineage: Eukaryota; Metazoa; Chordata; Actinopteri; Cyprinodontiformes; Aplocheilidae. The record is from RNAcentral.